This is a long non-coding RNA of Panthera uncia (snow leopard), 679 nucleotides long. RefSeq lists it as uncharacterized. The transcript is spliced from 2 exons. The record is from RefSeq and is a predicted model, not a curated record. NCBI's taxonomy places the organism in Eukaryota, Metazoa, Chordata, Mammalia, Carnivora, Felidae.
UUUAGGGUUGGUGAUAUCAAUUCACAUCACCACCACAUGUAAACAUGAAUUAAUUGAAUGCCAUUGGUUAGAUGUAGGGUUUAGAAUGAGCCUCAUUGUGAUGUUUGUUAGUUGUAGAAUGUUUGUGGGGGGCUGAGUUAUUAAGGAAGAAGACAUGAGGAAUGGGGAGGCACAGAGAACUUCACUGUGGAAGAUGCAAACAUAGAGGGAGAGAAGAAUUUCCUCUCUGUCUAUGGAAGCUUGAGAAAUAGGGAUGAGCUUGCUGUGGGGGCACAGCUGAAUGAUGCAGCAAGUUGAAACUGAAUAAUUGAUUGAAGUUUCUGGAAAUUGAACUUAUGGGUAUGUGGGUGCCAUAUUUUAUUUUGAAUAAAACAACAAAGAUAUCUGGUAUAAAAAUACUUUCUUCUUUAAGGAUUAGAGUCUACUCCUGCAACCAAAAUGACACUGUAUGUUAACUAACUUGAAUUUAAAUAAAUAAAUUAAAAAAAAGAAUUAGAGUAUGCCAACAAAAAUCAAUGAUCAAUGCAAAGUUCUAAAAUAAAAUUUUUUUUUUGGUAAUAAUUCCACAGUUUUAGGUAAGGCUAAAAAAACAGAUAGAAGUAAAGUUGAAGAUCAAAACAACAAAUUUAUGGUAAGUAUAUUAAAAGACAGAACAUUUUAGUUUUAUUAUCCAAAAAGA